This 484-nucleotide ribosomal RNA is filed under the name Peripsocus sp. 3.2.2004.4. RNAcentral's name for it is "partial 16S ribosomal RNA". The record is from RNAcentral. Lineage: Eukaryota; Metazoa; Arthropoda; Insecta; Psocodea; Peripsocidae.
GUUUUUAGAUUAUAAUUGAAAAUCCAAUCUGCUCACUGAAUUAUUUUAAAGAGCCGCAGUAUUUUGACUGUGCAAAGGUAGCAUAAUCAAUAGUUUUUUAAUUGAAAGCUGGAAUGAAUGAUUAGACGAAAAAUUGACUUUCUUCAUUUUUAUAAAUUUAAUUUAAAAUUUAAGUUAAAAUUCUUAAGUAAAAUUAAAAGACGAGAAGACCCUAUAGAUUUUUAUUAAUUAUUAGGUUUAUAAAACUUAUAUUUAAUUUAAUUGGGGCGAUUUUGUAAUACAAUAAACUUAAUAAUAACUGAACCAUAAAUAAAUGAAUAUUUUGAUCAAAAAUUUUUUAAAUUAGUUUAAAUUACCUUAGGGAUAACAGCGUAAUUUUUUUUAAGAGUUCAUAUCUAUAAAAAAGUUUGCGACCUCGAUGUUGAAUUAAGAAAUAUAUUGGAGUAGAAAUUAAUAUAAAUUAGUCUGUUCGACUAUUAAAUUC